This 1235-nucleotide long non-coding RNA is filed under the name Anas platyrhynchos platyrhynchos (common mallard). RNAcentral's name for it is "lncRNA (ENSAPLG00000020704.1)". Lineage: Eukaryota; Metazoa; Chordata; Aves; Anseriformes; Anatidae. The record is from RNAcentral.
UUACUUGCAAAGGUUAUGUCAGAGAAUAACAUAUUCAGAAAUUUUCCUCUUCCUUCAUCAUUUGAAUUUGUGUACUAUUUAGAACACUAUUUGUGUUAGCUGUAUAAGCAGGGGAAGAACGUUAGUCCCUUUCUUAAAGAGUUUAUGAUUCAAGCAUAGACAGGAUAGAACCAAGCAGGUGGUGGGGUUUCAGGUGAACCGAUGGCAGGCAGACUGCUGUCUUGGUGCACCAGAAAGCAAAUCCCUGCCAAGGCAUAUGUGAGCCACUGCAGCAGAGAAGAGUUCUGCUGAGCUGCUCUGCCUCACAUUGGAGCAAUCUUCACUCAUGCCUCUGCAAUCAACAUGAAAGCAAUUACCAGCUCCACAGCCUUAUAAAGGACAGACGGAAAAAUGGGUCAUCUCAAAAGCAAGUGGAGACAGUAUAACAGACCUGUAUGAAAGCCAUCAAAGCCUGCUUCUAAACUGGAAUAGCUUCACACUGACUUUCCAGAGCUGGUUUCAAGGUUCCUGAGCUCAUGAGUGUAUGAGGAAAAGAAAAAUCCUGUGCAAAUUAAAGAAAGUGGAAAGAGAUCUGGCAAAGUACUGGUGCAAACAGGAGUCAUCCAGGAGUAUUUAUCACGAUUUCAAUUUAGUAGGUCUGGAGUGUUCUUUGGGGACACUCAUGAGGCAAGUCCUAUACAUCCAUUCCAUCUGUAGAUCCUCCUUUUACAGUGAUGACUCUGCUUCUAGACCUGCAAGUACAUGGGUACGUAAGAGCAUUUGGGCAGCUAAUCUGAUCACUGCAUGAUAUCAUAUUCAUGACCUCAUGUAACUGUGGUGAUACAUGUGCUGGCAGCAGUGAGAGAGAUGAACAGCCAGGAAAUACUUUUUCCCUCUGGAAGGUGGGUUGGAAGAGCAGUAGAAGGAGCUACCAGAUCGUGUUUGAACCCAAAACUCAGACUCCUGAAUUCCUUCCUACCUCCCCAGUAGCCAGAGCUUUAUUCUGCUGAAUCCUUUUCAUAAGAAUGUUUUUACCUGUGCCACCGACAUAACUUUGUUUUGUAGUACAUACAAUCUAUGUAAUGAUAUAAAAUAUCCAGUAAACAAGCAAACAACAAAAGCAACAACAACAACAAAAUCCUGAGCUGUAUCUCUCAGGUUGAGCAAAUUGGGUGUCUUUGAUACUCGAGUGAAGCAUUCAAACCUAGAUGCCAGAAGUUUAGCAUCUAAAAUAAAUAUGUGACCAGUUCAGAGCA